AGCAGCCGCGGUAAUUCCAGCUCCAAUAGCGUAUAUUAGAGUUGUUGCAGUUAAAAAGCUCGUAGUUGAAUUUCGGGAUCAAUACGUCGGUCGUGCUUAGGUACGUACUGGCGUAAUUGAUUUCUCCCUUCUGACGAACCAUGAUGUCAUUAACUUGGUGUCAUGGGAAAUCAGGACUGUUAACUUUGAAAAAAUUGAGUGUUUAAAGCAGGCUCACGCUUGAAUACAUUAGCAUGGAAUAAUGAAAUAGGACGUUCGAUCCUAUUUUGUUGGUUUUUAGGAUCAACGUAAUGAUUAAUAGGGAUAGUUGGGGGCAUUAGUAUUCAAUUGUCAGAGGUGAAAUUCUUGGAUUUAUUGAAGACUAACUACUGCGAAAGCAUUUGCCAAGGAUGUUU
This 395-nucleotide ribosomal RNA is filed under the name uncultured Glomeromycotina. RNAcentral describes it as "SSU rRNA". It matches the Rfam family "Eukaryotic small subunit ribosomal RNA", at positions 569 to 969 of the family's 1831-position model. Lineage: Eukaryota; Fungi; Glomeromycota. The record is from RNAcentral.